Long non-coding RNA from Odontomachus brunneus, 2169 nucleotides. RefSeq lists it as uncharacterized. NCBI's taxonomy places the organism in Eukaryota, Metazoa, Arthropoda, Insecta, Hymenoptera, Formicidae. The transcript is spliced from 2 exons. The record is from RefSeq and is a predicted model, not a curated record.
CGUAUGUGAAUGCUUUACUUUUCGGUCCCUUGACACCACAGACUUGCUAUUUGGACACUAGAUGACACAACUGACGAGGAAAAGCAAUAAUUUGUGCUUGUGUAACAACUGUUUUUGAAAAAGUAACGUCUCCGAGCCAACAGUUGAGAGGCAGCGUGCUCUUCAUAUACUCCUAUUUUUCUUACCAUGCAGUAGUUUUACGUUGUUAUUGUGCAUUAUAUUUGCAAAAAAUGAGUCGAUAAAUAGAUAAAAGUGAACCGAACUAUCGUCCAAGCCCUCGUCGUCGGCGACCUCCAGGUGAAUUUAUACAAGACACUAAAGAAGAGGUGCCAAGCGACACCGACGCCGAAGCAAGUGCGUCGGCUAAGAAAAUGAAAGCGUCGGUGUCUGACGUCGUUGUAAAUUUGAGUUUCUGUUACCGAAUCAUAGAAUUUAUUUCUGUAUUUUCUGCUAUUUCUGACAUAGCUAUUUGCAGAAAGUGUAAAGGUAAUUUAUCAUUCGGGAAUUUAGAUGACAGAGGACUUGGUUUUAAAAUAUCCGUGAAGUGUAAGUGUGGCACUACACUCAUUGAUUCAGGACCAUUUAUUCAUAAUAGUUUUGAAAUUAAUCGAAGAAUAGUUUUUGCUAUGAGAUUACUGGGAGUAGCUCGAGAAGGCAUAAACAUUUUUUGCGGUAUAAUGGACUUGGGACAAGGAUUGAGGCAAAAAAGGUUACGAGAGAAUAGUGCAGCACUUAUACGCGUCUGCUAAGAAAGUUUUUGAUGUUUGUUGCAAAAACGCUGUACAAGAUGAAAUAAAAAUAAAUGAAGAGAACGAGAGAUCUAUUCAGAAUUUGACUGUUAGCGGUGACGGUUCUUGGAAAAAGCGCGGGUUCUCGUUUCUCUUUGGUGUUACCACGUUAAUAGCUUAUCACUCAGGAAAAGUAAUAGAUCUGAUCGUUAAAAAUAGUUAUUGUCAAGCAUGCAUCUACUUUAAACACAAAGAUUCAAACGGUCCGGAAUAUGCAGAGCUUAAAGAGAAUUGCCCAAUAAAUCAUCGAGGCUCUUCGGGAAAAAUGGAAGUCGAUUCUAUGCUCGAAAUGUUUCAAAGAUCCCAGGAACAUUAUGGAGUGAGGUACAGUAAUUAUAUUGGAGAUGGAGACGCCAAGACUUUUAAAGCCAUUAUAGAUGCAGAACCUUACGGUGAUGAUUUGAAAAUAACGAAGAGCGAAUGCUUGGGUCAUGUCGAGAAACGCAUGGGCAGUCGACUACGAAAUUUAAAAAAAAUUUAAAAAAAAAUUUAAAACAAAUUAAAAAAAAACUGUUAAACUCGGAGGUAAGGGGAAACUUACUGAUGUUCUUAUAAAAAAAUUAACAAAAUACUAUGGCCUAGCCAUUCGAAGGAAUGCGCAUAGAAUGACAUGAAAAAAGCAAUCAUGGCCACUUAUUUCCAUUUAAUAUUAACCGAUCAAGAGCCGCAGCACUAGUAUUGUCCCCCGGACGCCGACGUGAUGUGCGUAUCGCGUCGCCGAAGCUGAAAAUGCAGCACAAGCUUAUAUUCAUCCUUCUCCAUUACAUCCUGAUGUGAAAAAGCAGAUACUGCCAAUUUACGAGGAUUUAUCCCGUGAUAACUUGCUUGAGAGAUGCUUGGGUGGCUAUACGCAAAAUGCAAAUGAAUCUUUUAAUGCGACCGUAUGGCGCUUGGCUCCCAAGCAUCUAAACUGCGGCUGGAAAAUCGUUGAGAUUGCUGCUUAUUUAGCCGGAGGCAUGUUUAACGAUGGCUACACAUUCUACAAGUAAUGACAGAUUUGGAACUGCAAAUCGGUUUUCAGUGUAAAACAUUUGCUGACGUGUACGACAAAAACUGAGUGGAAAAACAGGAGCGUAGCCAAAGCAGGUCAAAAGAGUCCAGGACAGCUAAAAAACAGGAAGCAGCGGUUCAAAUGGAUGCAUUUGCAGAAGAGGAAGGCAUAUUUUACAGCUCUGGCAUCGCAGACUAAGCUUAUGUAGCCUUAAUUAGAGCGACCUGGACGUUGCACGGCGCAAAUUGUAGGAACCCACUUCAAGCAGCUGCUGCGCCGCCAUUUUGAAAUAUUUUUACAUGAAAAAAAUAUAUAAUAUACUUUAAAUCCUAUAUAUUACAAUGUACUUUAUACCGAUUUCAUAAACUUUUCCAUUUUUUCAAAAAAAAA